GAUGAACGCUGGCGGCGUGCUUAACACAUGCAAGUCGAACGGAGCGCUUUUGAUAGAGACUUCGGUCAAUGGAUAAAGUUGCUUAGUGGCGGACUGGUGAGUAACGCGUGAGGAACCUGCCUUUCAGAGGGGGACAACAGUUGGAAACGACUGCUAAUACCGCAUGACACAUUUGGGCGGCAUCGCCCGGAUGUCAAAGAUUUUAUCGCUGAAAGAUGGCCUCGCGUCUGAUUAGAUAGUUGGCGGGGUAACGGCCCACCAAGUCGACGAUCAGUAGCCGGACUGAGAGGUUGACCGGCCACAUUGGGACUGAGAUACGGCCCAGACUCCUACGGGAGGCAGCAGUGGGGAAUAUUGCACAAUGGGGGAAACCCUGAUGCAGCAACGCCGCGUGAGUGAUGACGGUCUUCGGAUUGUAAAGCUCUGUCUUUAGGGACGAUAAUGACGGUACCUAAGGAGGAAGCCACGGCUAACUACGUGCCAGCAGCCG
RNAcentral lists this ribosomal RNA (490 nucleotides) under uncultured bacterium. RNAcentral's name for it is "bacterial SSU rRNA". It matches the Rfam family "Bacterial small subunit ribosomal RNA", at positions 28 to 517 of the family's 1533-position model. The record is from RNAcentral.